AUUGAACGCUGGCGGCAGGCCUAACACAUGCAAGUCGAACGGUAACAGGAAGCAGCUUGCUGCUUUGCUGACGAGUGGCGGACGGGUGAGUAAUGUCUGGGAAACUGCCUGAUGGAGGGGGAUAACUACUGGAAACGGUAGCUAAUACCGCAUAACGUCGCAAGACCAAAGAGGGGGACCUUCGGGCCUCUUGCCAUCGGAUGUGCCCAGAUGGGAUUAGCUAGUAGGUGGGGUAAAGGCUCACCUAGGCGACGAUCCCUAGCUGGUCUGAGAGGAUGACCAGCCACACUGGAACUGAGACACGGUCCAGACUCCUACGGGAGGCAGCAGUGGGGAAUAUUGCACAAUGGGCGCAAGCCUGAUGCAGCCAUGCCGCGUGUAUGAAGAAGGCCUUCGGGUUGUAAAGUACUUUCAGCGGGGAGGAAGGGAGUAAAGUUAAUACCUUUGCCCAUUGACGUUACCCGCAGAAGAAGCACCGGCUAACUCCGUG
RNAcentral lists this ribosomal RNA (490 nucleotides) under uncultured bacterium. RNAcentral's name for it is "partial 16S ribosomal RNA". It matches the Rfam family "Bacterial small subunit ribosomal RNA", at positions 30 to 507 of the family's 1533-position model. The record is from RNAcentral.